Molecule: long non-coding RNA, 1771 nt
Filed under: Coturnix japonica (Japanese quail)
Lineage: Eukaryota; Metazoa; Chordata; Aves; Galliformes; Phasianidae
Description: lncRNA (ENSCJPG00005013586.1)
Source: RNAcentral
GAGAUUUCAACCUUGCUGUAGCUUCACUCAACUUGAUGGGAAUCUCUGAGAUCAAAUGCUACCUCUGGCCAACAAACUGUAACAUCCAGUGCUCAUACAGACAUUUAGGCGUUUAUACAGAGAUGAAGCAGUUCCAACAGAACUCCAGGAGGAACCCACCAAGUCAAGUACAUGAUGACUGUAAAAAUUGCUGGUGUCCAGAAAGCCGUGGUUUCAGCAGUUCUGGAUCAUGCUGAGUGAAAGCUGCUGCCCUCUCCUGGAAGGAAUGCCAGAGCUCUGGGUAUGAUACUGGAGAGAUCAAGCAGUAAGCCAAGAAGCAAAGCUGGGGCAUCUUGAAGAGUUAACCUGAAGUUCAUCUGGGAAAUGAUCUCACUUUUACAGAGUGGAGCACCCACAGAUGCCUGUCCUUUACAUAAGGAAUAGGGAGCAUCCUCUUGCAGGUGAUGUGAAACCUGGCUUUGGAAGUGGAAAGCUGUUACAGUAUUUAUCAAAAGAAGGAAAAUGGGAGCAAUGUUAGAGAGUUCUACUUUCAGUCCAAAACAUUUUCUACAAGUCUCUGUUUUGUUGUGAUGUUUUCUUGCCUGUUUCUUUUCUCUGUGUUUUAGUCUCACUGUAAAACUGGUUGAACUAUACAUUAUAGCCCAGACUUUCUGUGCCUGACAGGCAAUUCCACAUCUCUCUCCCGCUACGGACCAUCUAAUUUAGAGGGAUGGUGGGCAGAAGUGACUGCUGCAAGAUGACACUAAUUUGAAGGUCCUACAAGGGUCACCAGUUGUGACCAAAGACUUGUGAAGUUUUGUAGGUUUUGAGGAACAAAACAAUAGAAGCUCCAAAGUGUGUUUUUGCUUUCCCUCUCCUGACUUCAUUUACUUGCUCAUUAAAUUCUGAAGCAUGUAGCUACACCCAUACAAAAUUACUACAUUUCGUAACCUUUAAUUGAUUUGCGUAUUUAUGGGGAAACUGGUAUUUCGGGACUAUCCAACUGUGCCAUCACUAUCACCUUUCCAUGGGUCUCUGUGUGCUUGGUUGCUACAAAGAAAUCCUGAUGUAUGUCUGCCUGGCACACACCUGGAAGCUCCGUGGGUAGAAUUCUUCACUGCAGGUUACUAAUACUGAAAUCAGGAGAGCCCUUAUUUGUAGAUGGGGCAGAUAUUCAUUGCAGCAUGCCUUGCUCUGUUUGCUUAGGUUGGGUGUUGGUAUUCCAGCCAAGAUUUUGAAACACAUCAGUGUGCUGCAUGCUGUUAAUGAUGUUCCUUUUCCAUACCAUUAGGAAAGGCAGAGACACUGCUGGCAUGGACAGGUAUGAAAACAGUUACUGACGUGGGUCUAAUUGCUCCCUCUGGGAUUUUCAGCAGUUGUAAAUCCAGAGAUGCAGUCCAUGUAUGUGUGAACUGAGAAGAAGGUGAGGGUCCUCACAACUCCAUGUCUGUCUCAAGAGCACUAUGGCUGAAAAUCCACUUCAGUGGACCCAGCCACAGAACUGCAGGAUGGUUUCUUGCCAUACACAGCUGUGUGUGACAAGGCAUUUCUGCUUCACUCACUUUGUUGAUCGCAUUUUAAACUUUUCCUCCUAAUUGUUGAGGCUGGAAAGCCUUGCAGAUAAUAUGUAGACCAUGAAGAGUGAUCAUUCAGUGUCUUUUCUAUAUCUAAUGUCCCUGUGGUUCUGGUCUUGGUUACACAGGUCAUCCUGCUGGCAUGAAUACUAUUGCUUCAGGCUUGAGUGUUGCAAGUACAAAUCUUACCCUAAAUAAAUAGUGAUGGAGAAUAGCCA